RNAcentral lists this ribosomal RNA (484 nucleotides) under uncultured bacterium. RNAcentral describes it as "partial 16S ribosomal RNA". It matches the Rfam family "Bacterial small subunit ribosomal RNA", at positions 29 to 507 of the family's 1533-position model. The record is from RNAcentral.
AUUGAACGCUGGCGGCAUGCUUUACACAUGCAAGUCGAACGGCAGCGCGGGCUUCGGCCUGGCGGCGAGUGGCGAACGGGUGAGUAAUACAUCGGAACGUGCCCAGUAGUGGGGGAUAGCUCGGCGAAAGCCGGAUUAAUACCGCAUACGACCUGAGGGUGAAAGCGGGGGAUCUUCGGACCUCGCGCUAUCGGAGCGGCCGAUGGCAGAUUAGCUAGUUGGUGGGGUAAAGGCCUACCAAGGCGACGAUCUGUAGCUGGUCUGAGAGGACGACCAGCCACACUGGGACUGAGACACGGCCCAGACUCCUACGGGAGGCAGCAGUGGGGAAUUUUGGACAAUGGGCGAAAGCCUGAUCCAGCAAUGCCGCGUGUGUGAUGAAGGCCUUCGGGUUGUAAAGCACUUUUGGCGGGAACGAAAAGGACUGUGCCAAUACCACGGUUCGAUGACGGUACCCGCAGAAUAAGCACCGGCUAACUACGUG